UCCGUAGGUGGAUAAUUAAGUCAGAGGUGAAAUCCUGCAGCUCAACUGUAGAGUUGCCUUUGAUACUGGUUAUCUUGAGUCAUUAUGAAGUGGUUAGAAUGUGUAGUGUAGCGGUGAAAUGCAUAGAUAUUACACAGAAUACCGAUUGCGAAGGCAGAUCACUAAUAAUGUACUGACACUGAGGGACGAAAGCGUGGGGAGCGAACAGGAUUAGAUACCCUGGUAGUCC
Molecule: ribosomal RNA, 229 nt
Filed under: uncultured bacterium
Lineage: Bacteria
Description: partial 16S ribosomal RNA
Rfam family: Bacterial small subunit ribosomal RNA
Source: RNAcentral